Molecule: ribosomal RNA, 776 nt
Filed under: uncultured Neocallimastigales
Lineage: Eukaryota; Fungi; Neocallimastigomycota; Neocallimastigomycetes; Neocallimastigales
Description: partial large subunit ribosomal RNA
Rfam family: Eukaryotic large subunit ribosomal RNA
Source: RNAcentral
UACUAGAGUAGCACUCGCAUAUCAAUAAGCGGAGGAAAAGAAACUAACAAGGAUUCCCCUAGUAACGGCGAGUGAAGCGGGAAGAGCUCAAAUUUGAAAUCUUAAAGGGUUUCCCUUUACGAAUUGUAGUUUUAAAGAAGUGUUUUCUGUUGAGGUUUUGGUAAAAGUUCUUUGGAAUAGGACAUCAUAGAGGGUGAGAAUCCCGUAUUUGACCUUUACUUUCAACUUUGUGAUACACUUUCAAAGAGUCGGAUUGUUUGGGAAUGCAGUCCAAAAUGGGUGGUAAAUUUCAUCUAAAGCUAAAUAUUGGCGAGAGACCGAUAGCGAACAAGUACCGUGAGGGAAAGAUGAAAAGAACUUUGAAAAGAGAGUUAAACAGUACGUGAAAUUGUCAAAAGGGAAGCGUUUGACACCAGUGUUGUUUUUCUGAAAAUCAAUUAAAGAACUGUUUAUGCUAAGUUGUUUAGACUUUAUCAGCUAACUGUUUAGUUUUGAGCUUUUCUUUAAUGCACUUUUCAGUUAACAAGUCAACAUCAAUUUCUUUUGCUGUAAAAAAGCUUGAGGAAGGGUGGCUUGAGAUUCGUCUUAAGUGUUUAUAGCCUCUUGCCUAUGCAGUCGGAGAGAUUGAGGUCUGCAGCGUAGAUCCUUCGGGGCUAAAUGCAUUUGUGCUAAGUUAUAGCAUUUUAUAGACAACUUGUUGACUAUGAUUUGUCUUGUAGCUUACUCGCUUAUGUUAUUUUACCUACGCUUAGGAUGUUGAUAUCGCGCUCUCACUG